UUAGAGGCAAGUCUGAAUGAGUUUAUAUUUUUUUGGGACAAAAUUAACCUAUUCAAUAUUACAAAAUUUCUCUUAUAUCCCUCUAAUAAAAUACACAAUAUACACUCCCGUCAUCGCCAUCGCCAUCGCCGAUUUCUUUCAUCUGCCAGUACAAAUUUACCAUCUCCGGUGAGGUUCAACCCACUCUUCACACCAUCUCCUGCAAAAAAUAUUGAACCCAUAUCUGAUUGAAGACAAAAGUUAACCCUUUUUUCAUACAUCCCAAAAUUACAGGAAGAGAGAGACCAUUGAAACAAAUAGAGGUUACUGAAUAAAACCUGAAGGAGGAGAUUGAAGGACGAAUCGAUGAUGUCUCGCACCAUCUCACUUUCCAAGAAACUCAUUACUACUUCUUGUAUCUGUACAUGUAUGUAGCUUUCCUGAAAAGAGGGAAAGUGGUGAUUCU
This 445-nucleotide long non-coding RNA is filed under the name Panax ginseng (ginseng). RNAcentral's name for it is "long non-coding RNA (PGIN_LNC015609)". Lineage: Eukaryota; Viridiplantae; Streptophyta; Magnoliopsida; Apiales; Araliaceae. The record is from RNAcentral.